AAGAGAAAGUUUCAGGGAAGGUUCUUGAAGGAGGAGACCAUAUUGAGUCGGCUGAAACAGAGAAAAGUACUCUAGAUUCUGUGCAGAUAGAGCCUGAAGGGAAGGUUGUUGAAGGAGAAGACAGUAUUGAAGUUGCUGGAAAAGAGAAAGAUGCUGCAGAUUCUGUGCAGAUAGAGCCUGAAGGGAAGGUUCUUGAGGAAGGAGGCAAUAUUGAGUUUGCUGAAAAGGAGAAAGAUGUCACAGAUUCUGUGCGGAUAGAGCCUGAAGGGAUGGUUCUCAUAGGAGGAGAUAAUAUUGAUUUUACUGAAAAGGAGAAAGAUAAAGCUGAUGCGGUUCCGGCAGAGUUUGAUGU
RNAcentral lists this long non-coding RNA (352 nucleotides) under Capsella grandiflora. RNAcentral describes it as "long non-coding RNA (CGRA_LNC001086)". Lineage: Eukaryota; Viridiplantae; Streptophyta; Magnoliopsida; Brassicales; Brassicaceae. The record is from RNAcentral.